AGUCAGCCAGGUGGCCGCGACGCGACAGUGUCGAGGAACGUCCGGACUCCACACAGCAGGGUGGUUGUUAACAGCAACCCGGGGUGACCCGCGGGAAAGUGCCACAGAAAACAGACCGCCCACAUUGUGGGUAAGGGUGAAACGGUGGUGUAAGAGACCACCAGCGUCUCCGGUGACGGAAACGGCUUGGUAAACCCCACCCGGAGCAAGGUCAAGCUGAACCGCUGGUUCGAUGCGGACGUUGGAGGGCUGCUCGCCCGAGUUCGCGGGUAGACCGCUCGAGCGCGUCGGCGACGACGCGCCUAGAUGGAUGGCCACCGCCGCGGGCAACGCGGUAACGCGCCCGCGGCACAGAAUCCGGCGUAUCGGCUGACUCGUC
RNAcentral lists this RNase P RNA (379 nucleotides) under uncultured Stackebrandtia sp. Its description in RNAcentral is "Bacterial RNase P class A". It matches the Rfam family "Bacterial RNase P class A". From Rfam's summary of the family: Ribonuclease P (RNase P) is a ubiquitous endoribonuclease, found in archaea, bacteria and eukarya as well as chloroplasts and mitochondria. Its best characterised activity is the generation of mature 5'-ends of tRNAs by cleaving the 5'-leader elements of precursor-tRNAs. Cellular RNase Ps are ribonucleoproteins. The record is from RNAcentral. Lineage: Bacteria; Bacillati; Actinomycetota; Actinomycetes; Glycomycetales; Glycomycetaceae.